UACGUAGGACCCAAGCGUUAUCCGGAGUGACUGGGCGUAAAGAGUUGCGUAGGUGGUUAUAUAAGCGAAUAGUGAAAUCUGGCGGCUCAACCGUACAGGCUAUUAUUCGAACUGUAUAACUCGAGAAUGGUAGAGGUUACUGGAAUUUCUAGUGUAGGAGUGAAAUCCGUAGAUAUUAGAAGGAACACCAAUGGCGUAGGCAGGUAACUGGACCAUUUCUGACACUGAGGCACGAAAGCGUGGGGAGCGAACCGG
Molecule: ribosomal RNA, 255 nt
Filed under: uncultured bacterium
Lineage: Bacteria
Description: partial 16S ribosomal RNA
Rfam family: Bacterial small subunit ribosomal RNA
Source: RNAcentral